This is a long non-coding RNA of Cuculus canorus (common cuckoo), 2936 nucleotides long. RefSeq lists it as uncharacterized. The record is from RefSeq and is a predicted model, not a curated record. Lineage: Eukaryota; Metazoa; Chordata; Aves; Cuculiformes; Cuculidae. The transcript has 4 exons.
AAUAAGUGUAUAUAAUGUUGCAACAGAGUUCCGAGUGGCUCUCAGCCCAUCUAUUAAGAGCAUUAGAAGCAGGAAGUUGCUCAAAUUUUGCAAAUAACUUUUGCAAGUCCCAUUUAAAUCUUCUAAAUUAAUGGGCAACACAAAAUACAGAUUUUUACUAGAGUUAUUUUCAUCUAGAUAGUAGAGACACAUCUUGCACUCUUAUCUUUGAAUGCUGCAAUAUAAGAGGGGGUUCCUCCUGGAAAAAUACAUAUUGUCAUCAACGGAUAAUUUUUUGUGACUUCCAAUGGCAAACAGAAGCGACAUUGUAGCCAAGUUAGUUAGUAUUAAAAUCAUUAACAUCUGGAUACUUCUAUGGCUUAUAAGGACUGGAAAAGUUCCACUAAUUCUUGCAGCAUGGGUUUAUGGACAAAAUGGACUGAGCUCCUGGAAAAAGAAAACCCUGUAUAAUUGUCCUUAUUUGUGCAGAAAUGGAAGCAGAUGAUCACAGAAGUAAAAGCAAGGGUUUGAUGACAAAGGCAGCUGAAUGAAGCCCUGAGGAAAAAGAGUUCUGUUCCAGCCUUCAUCUCACCAUCUCCCUGCAGUUUGGGGCUGAACUACUACACCCUCAAUUAUCAACCUCAUGAAUUUCUGCACGGAAAAUGAAAGAGCUGUUGCUUUAUUCCUCUGGGCAAUAGAGUGGAUAUGAAGAGCUGAUAAGCACGUACAACUUUGUCUCCCUACACUCUCAAUGUGGCAGCCAGAGGAGCUGACUUGGAGGGGAACAGCCUUCUGCCCCUGAGGAGACACAUCCCAAUGAUCCCAAUGGUGUUCACCAGCACUGCAUGAGCUCCAGUAUCUGAACUAAGGUUCCCUUCUGAAGUGACUCCCACUGGAUUUACCAAAGAGCAUCUAUUUUUGUGUAGCUCCCAUUGUAACUAGUUUCCCAUCUUUAAAAUGAGUGUUGUGUGGCUUAGAGGAGGAAUAGAAUUGAGUUCCUGCUGAUACUACACUUUCUAGCAAACCCUUCCAUGUACUUAUACCAACAGAGACUCGAUGAUUUCCUAAAUUUACAUUGCAGGUGACUGGCUCAUUCCAGGGUGCCUGUAUGAAAUCAAUUUUAAUCUACACUCACACACAUAUCAAUAGAAACUUAGACCUAAGAAUCUCAUAAACACAGUUGUCUUCUGAUACCACAGAGGAGCAAGAAAUCCAUUUAGUCGUUGGCAAAGAGGAAGAGCUAAAUCUUUGCAGAGAAUGCAUGAAAAAGUGAUUUGAAAUUUUGAAGAUGGUGUAAGUUCAUAAUACCAUACACCACAAGGUCUCAGAAGCCCUUUUUAUCACCAGUCACCACAAUUAGCAGUAGCUAUACUGACCAACUUUGAAUAAAAUCCUGUAUGCUCUAUUUUGCCUGAAACAGACUGAUGGUUUUUGCUAAUUUGUACCUUUCUCAGAAGCAGAGCAAAUAUAUGAAACUGGUGACCUUCUCAAGACUGCCUAGGGAAUGUAAAUGGCCACUUGUGUGGUUGCUGAGGGAUGGGUAGUGUAACUUCAGGGUUUAAAAGUUCAAAAAAUACUAAUAUAUAUCAUCUGAUAAUUUAAAAAUAACAAUUUCCUCACUCCAGAAGAAGCAGAACUGCUUUCCUGUGGUCAUUUGCAUUGUGAUUUCUGUUUGGGGCUUUAUCAUCCUUCCCCUGCUCCCCAGUGAUUGCUGAACAUCUACUCAUAUUAAGGUCCACUCUUCUUCACUCUUAUAACACUAGUCUCUACCUAUCCUUUUUCCCUUCCAAAGAAAAAUGUAGAUGUCAUUGUCAUGUUGAUCCAUUCUACCCCCUUUGAAGACAAGUGCUGCUACCACAAGGAGGUAACUUCACUUUCCAUAAUGCUGGGGAUUAAAAUAGUCUACUUAUAGAAAAUUAGAAUUAAUUGUGUGAUUGUUUAAAAUCAUGUUGAAUUGAAUUGCUUUUGAUUAGCUCGGCACAAGUGACUUUAGCUUAGCAUGAGUGACUUUGCUUAGCGUGAGUGACUAUAGUGCUGAGGUCUUAAGCUGCAAACCAUAACUGAACUUAACUUGAGCCUCUGCUUAGUAGAAUCGGAGAAGUACCAGAAGAAGUCUUGUACAAUGAGAUAAGUUGGAUCAAAUCUGUUACUCAAGAAGACCUUAAAAGAGCAAAAUCAUUCCAUCUGAAGUCAACAGAAGACAGAAGAUGGAAUGAUGUGCAGACAAGAUGGAAUGAUGUUGAAUAUACAUGAGUGGAUAAAAUUCAAGAUGUUGCUCCAGUUAUCAUAGAGAAAGAGCAGCAGGGAAACAAAUUGAUCGGACAAAAAGUCUGAGCACAUGAACAUCCCAUGUAAUAGGUUGCGAGGCCUUAAAAGCGGCAGGGAAACAACUGAAAGGAGGUAUCUCACAGGAGAGCCCCAGCUAGUGCUGAAAUAGACCAACUCUGUGACAUAACCUAAGAUCCAAACUCUUCUUUACAGUUCAGGGAUAAGCCUGGAUCCAGCCACACCUAGACUCUGAAAAGCAGUUUAGAAAGCAAGGAGGGGCCAAUCUGGAUCUUUCAACUUGGUGGGAAAAAAUUCCUGAAUUCUUUUAUAACAAUAAAUAUUGGUUAGAAGCACAAAGCUUCCUGUGUCAAACAGUAGUAAUUCAAGAGGUAAUGCUGGAUAUUCGUAUAGUCUCUAUCUAAAAGUGUUUGUUAGGAUCUGAAGUCUUAUCAAGACUCCAUUGUUUACUUUCUCUCCUUCCCACUUCUUCUCCGAAUAAGGGGAUUGACCCCUCAGGUUUAGGUGAGUCUCUGAUUGAAUCUUCUUAAAAUAUUUGGCUUAAAAAUACAUUACUAAUCUUUCUGAUAUAUAUAGAGUGUUCCUCAGUCGUGUGCAUAAUAUAGGUUCAGAGUUACCUGUGUUAUAAUAUAUGAAAAAUUGAGUUGUAAAGUGUUUGUAACUGUUUAUUC